Long non-coding RNA from Nerophis ophidion (straightnose pipefish), 588 nucleotides. RefSeq lists it as uncharacterized. NCBI's taxonomy places the organism in Eukaryota, Metazoa, Chordata, Actinopteri, Syngnathiformes, Syngnathidae. The transcript has 4 exons. The record is from RefSeq and is a predicted model, not a curated record.
UGCUACGAGAUGGUCGCAUGAUGAUGCGCGGAUUGUUCUCCCAAUGAUGUAGCAGGAACUCCAGAGACAGCAUACAGGGGGUCGCAGCUUGCUGCGAAAAUCAUUCCCGCGGGAUGCAAAUGGAUCACUCCGGACAGGACUUGCAGUGUUUUACUUCUUGUCUUGCACUCCUAUUUUGGUGGUGUGGAGAGACGCAGCCGACGGGCCGACAGCGGGAGGACACAGGCGUUCUGGACCAAGAUGGAGGACAGGAGACUAUAAGAGAGGCGAAGGGGGCACGAUCGGAAUGGAGAAAGGAGGAAACCACGGCAGCCCGAUCACGAGCCCGACAACCCAUAUCGACAGCCGAGAUCACGCCAAAAUGAGUCCCCGCCACAAACGAACCAGGCGAGCACCGAAAGGUGCAGCACGACCAGGAAGAGGAGCCGGCGCAGUAGGAAUGGGCGUGCCCGACUGGUCCGAAGAAAGGUCGUGUGAAACAAUAAAAGUAACUCAAACCUGCUAUGACGCGUCGUGUGUCCAGUGUCACCGCAACCCACACGAGGACGGCUGGGAGUCCGUCACAGGCAGCUUUUUAUCUUUUUUUGC